AACUAAAGCUUUAUUUUCAAUUUUUGGUUGAGGUAGAUUUGUAUGCUGGUAGUCAACCCAAGUAAAUAAGCAUCAGACUGGCACUGGCUUCAAUAUUCAUUUUGGUGGUAUCAUGAGCAUAUUUCAGGCAUGAGAAGCUGAUGCAAUCAACGAUGUCACGAACAGGGAGUUUGUUUGGUGGCAGGUCAAUAAAAAUCAAAUUUGUUUUAUGAUUGUCAAAUCUUCAGAGCAAGCAUGGAAAGUUAGCUGAAUUUUUCCAUAUUGAAAUUCUGAACCAACUAAUAGUAAAUGCAACCGUAGGAUAUUGAAUUUCAGCUUUUGAAGGAUGGCUAGCUUGUUUUCACAGCCUGUGGACACUAACAACGACAAACAGGAUCCUGGACCGUUAAUGCGACUCAUCCUUCAGGCAGCAAAGGACAAAAGUGCUCAGAGUUCCGCGUCAGUGGAAAGUAAACAACCAGAGAGUUCCCAGAGUUCAAAGGUAGUGGAAACAAAAGAACUGGCGAAGGAUCUGAACUGGUACUUGCCACUAUACAAAGCUGCUUUACAAGGUGAUUGGGAGAGUGCCAGAAAAUUCUUCGACCAGGACCCUGAUGCAGUCACUGCUAAAAUUACUAAAGUUUCAGAGACAGCACUACACGUUGCAGUUGGGACGGGAAGGGCCAUUCAUUUUGUCAAGGAAUUGUUAGAGUUGAUCCCAACUGACGCCUUGGCAACUCUGCGGGAUCAAGUUGGUCAGACAGCCCUCCACUAUGCUGCCAUAUUUGGCAAUGUUAAGGCAGCACAGAUAUUAGUGUCCAAGAACCAAGACUUGCCAAAUAUACAUAGUGACACAUUAUUUCUCCCCAUCCAUUCGGCCGCUCUUUAUGCCAACAAAGAUAUGAUUUCAUAUUUAUUAACUGUCACAAAAGAUGACAAGGAUCCCAGUCCCUUCGCAGAUAAAUCUGGUGUAGAUCUUCUGAAUCUUGUUACUCUUGCCGAAUUCUAUGACUUGGCUUUGUAUCUGGUGCAGCUGUAUCCUAGUUUGGCUACACUAAAAUCAGCUGCUGGCAACAAUGCAUUGAACUUGAUUGCUGGAAAGCCUUCACCUUUCCUAAGGAGAAGUUCCCUUAAUGUUUGGCAGCGAUUUCUCUAUUCAUGUGCUGCAGAGAUUUUAUUCAAUUAUGUUUUUUGGUUCCUUAUCCCCUCUGCCCACCAACAAGAAUCUGACCAAAAAACAAAGUCUUAUCCCACUAAUUUGGCAAUUGACUGCUAUCCAUUAUAUAGGUCUGCCUUCGAUGUUUGGGAAUAUAUAUAGCCAAGAAAAUGGAAGAGUCACAAAGAAUCCAGCUGGUGGCCCUCAAAUAUCUUCAAAACUUUGCUGCCAGAUCCCAUUUUCCAGCAAGUUCAAAUUUUCUGGGUGCCAGAAGUUUAAUUUAGUACUUUGGAAGGCUAUCGAAUGCUUAG
Molecule: RNA transcript, 1446 nt
Organism: Olea europaea var. sylvestris
Lineage: Eukaryota; Viridiplantae; Streptophyta; Magnoliopsida; Lamiales; Oleaceae
Exons: 6
Source: RefSeq, a predicted model, not a curated record